AGGUUUGAUCCUGGCUCAGAUUAAACGCUGGCGGCAUGCCUUACACAUGCAAGUCGAACGGUAGCGCGGGGCAACCUGGCGACGAGUGGCGAACGGGUGAGUAAAGCAUCGGAACGUGCCCUGGAAUGGGGGAUAACGUAGCGAAAGUUACGCUAAUACCGCAUAUUCUGUGAGCAGGAAAGCAGGGGAUCGCAAGACCUUGCGUUCUGGGAGCGGCCGAUGUCGGAUUAGCUAGUUGGUGGGGUAAAAGCCUACCAAGGCGACGAUCCGUAGCGGGUCUGAGAGGAUGAUCCGCCACACUGGGACUGAGACACGGCCCAGACUCCUACGGGAGGCAGCAGUGGGGAAUUUUGGACAAUGGGCGGAAGCCUGAUCCAGCCAUGCCGCGUGAGUGAAGAAGGCCUUCGGGUUGUAAAGCUCUUUCGGUGGGGAAGAAAUUGCACGGGUUAAUACCCUGUGUAGAUGACGGUACCCGACUAAGAAGCACCGGCUAACUACGUG
RNAcentral lists this ribosomal RNA (501 nucleotides) under uncultured bacterium. RNAcentral describes it as "bacterial SSU rRNA". It matches the Rfam family "Bacterial small subunit ribosomal RNA", at positions 9 to 507 of the family's 1533-position model. The record is from RNAcentral.